Molecule: unclassified non-coding RNA, 520 nt
Filed under: uncultured Glomus
Lineage: Eukaryota; Fungi; Glomeromycota; Glomeromycetes; Glomerales; Glomeraceae
Description: SSU rRNA
Rfam family: Eukaryotic small subunit ribosomal RNA
Source: RNAcentral
CGCAGCCGCGGUAAUUCCAGCUCCAAUAGCGUAUAUUAAAGUUGUUGCAGUUAAAAAGCUCGUAGUUGAAUUUCGGGAUCAGUUGGUCGGUCGUGCCUCGGUACGUACUGGUCAAAUUGAUUCCUACCUUCUGACGAACCACGAUGUCAUUAAUUUGGUGUCGCGGGAAAUCAGGACUGUUACUUUGAAAAAAUUAGAGUGUUUAAAGCAGGCUCGCGCUUGAAUACAUUAGCAUGGAAUAAUGAAAUAGGACGUUUGAUUCUAUUUUGUUGGUCUCUAGGAUCGACGUAAUGAUUAAUAGGGAUAGUUGGGGGCAUUAGUAUUCAAUUGUCAGAGGUGAAAUUCUUGGAUUUAUUGAAGACUAACUACUGCGAAAGCAUUUGCCAAGGAUGUUUUCAUUAAUCAAGAACGAAAGUUAGGGGAUCGAAGACGAUCAGAUACCGUCGUAGUCUUAACCAUAAACUAUGCCGACUAGGGAUCGGAUGAUGUUAAUUUUUUCAAUGACUCAUUCGGCGCCUUA